AUAGGAAAUGGUAAUUAAAGACAGACAAUAUUCAAUUUUUGACGGCAAUAUUCAAUUUUCUUUCAAUUAUAUGAAAAUAUAGAUAAACGAUUAAAAAACAUAGGGGCAAAAACAGCACAUAUCGUUUGAUUUAUCACAUUAGUCAAUAAACAGUUAUAUAUUCAAAAUAGCAUAACAUAAAACUCAUUAGUUGUGCAUGAAUAUGAAAUUGUCACAAAAGAUUUUUUUUUGAGAACUAGACAAAAGAUUAUUUAUACCACAACAUUGCCAUAGUUAAGUUAUUUAAGAACAUUACCAUAGUUAAUUUCUCUCCAAAUUUUUGCCAUCUCACCUAAAUAUUUUCAAAUUGAUUAUAUAUAUAUAUAUAUAUGCGUGUGUGUGUGUUUAAAUGGUAUAGUUUAUAAUCAUAAUACUAAAGUAUCUUUUUAUAUAGACAAAAAAAUUGUAAUCUACAAAAUAUUUUUCAUUCUUGAUUGAUGAUCCGAAUCUAUGGUUCGACUCCAUUUGACUUGAUUCUUUUGCUUAUAUUUUCAAAAAAUAAUUGAAUGAUUAAUUGUUAUUAUAUACAUGUUUGAUAGCGAAACACAAAAUCCAAGAAAAACAUAAUUAAGUAUAAAGAAGAUAUUGCUUUGGAUUU
This 637-nucleotide long non-coding RNA is filed under the name Brassica napus (rape). RNAcentral's name for it is "long non-coding RNA (BNAP_LNC003354)". The record is from RNAcentral. Lineage: Eukaryota; Viridiplantae; Streptophyta; Magnoliopsida; Brassicales; Brassicaceae.